AUGGCAGCGCAUUGUGGGAUGCUGUGGUAUUUGUUCACCAAAGUGUAUUCUUUUAUGGAUGUAAUUGCACAAAAUUUGCAUGGAUUUGUGGUGUUCUUGGCAGGAAGAGAUGGCGUGACGAUCAUGCCGGGGUUUCAUAUCCUGCGAACGGAUAUGAAACGUUUUGCUGCAGGAGCAAUCAUCAUUCCUGCAACACAUAAGGAGCAGUAUCAUCAACAAGAAGAACCAAAGGAGAGGUGCCCUUCCCAUCUGCUGCAAUUUGGAGAAGGAUCAGAGCUACUCCUAGCACAUGUUAAUUAUGAAGUUCAGGAACUCUGUUUCACGCAAAAGUUCAGACACGGAGGCAGGGAGGGAUAUAUAGACAGAGUGCUGUGCUGUGCUGUUUGUUGCUAG
Molecule: ribosomal RNA, 393 nt
Filed under: Triticum aestivum (bread wheat)
Lineage: Eukaryota; Viridiplantae; Streptophyta; Magnoliopsida; Poales; Poaceae
Description: partial small subunit ribosomal RNA
Source: RNAcentral